AUUGAACGCUGGCGGCAGGCCUAACACAUGCAAGUCGAACGGUAACAGGAAGCAGCUUGCUGCUUUGCUGACGAGUGGCGGACGGGUGAGUAAUGUCUGGGAAACUGCCUGAUGGAGGGGGAUAACUACUGGAAACGGUGGCUAAUACCGCAUAACGUCGCAAGACCAAAGAGGGGGACCUUCGGGCCUCUUGCCAUCAGAUGUGCCCAGAUGGGAUUAGCUAGUUGGUGAGGUAACGGCUCACCAAGGCGACGAUCCCUAGCUGGUCUGAGAGGAUGACCAGCCACACUGGAACUGAGACACGGUCCAGACUCCUACGGGAGGCAGCAGUGGGGAAUAUUGCACAAUGGGCGCAAGCCUGAUGCAGCCAUGCCGCGUGUAUGAAGAAGGCCUUCGGGUUGUAAAGUACUUUCAGCGGGGAGGAAGGUGUUGUGGUUAAUAACCGCAGCAAUUGACGUUACCCGCAGAAGAAGCACCGGCUAACUCCGUGCCAGCAGCCGCGGUAAUACGGAGGGUGCAAGCGUUAAUCGGAAUUACUGGGCGUAAAGCGCACGCAGGCGGUCUGUCAAGUCGGAUGUGAAAUCCCCGGGCUCAACCUGGGAACUGCAUUCGAAACUGGCAGGCUUGAGUCUUGUAGAGGGGGGUAGAAUUCCAGGUGUAGCGGUGAAAUGCGUAGAGAUCUGGAGGAAUACCGGUGGCGAAGGCGGCCCCCUGGACAAAGACUGACGCUCAGGUGCGAAAGCGUGGGGAGCAAACAGGAUUAGAUACCCUGGUAGUCCACGCCGUAAACGAUGUCUACUUGGAGGUUGUGCCCUUGAGGCGUGGCUUCCGGAGCUAACGCGUUAAGUAGACCGCCUGGGGAGUACGGCCGCAAGGUUAAAACUCAAAUGAAUUGACGGGGGCCCGCACAAGCGGUGGAGCAUGUGGUUUAAUUCGAUGCAACGCGAAGAACCUUACCUGGUCUUGACAUCCACGGAAGUUUUCAGAGAUGAGAAUGUGCCUUCGGGAACCGUGAGACAGGUGCUGCAUGGCUGUCGUCAGCUCGUGUUGUGAAAUGUUGGGUUAAGUCCCGCAACGAGCGCAACCCUUAUCCUUUGUUGCCAGCGGUCCGGCCGGGAACUCAAAGGAGACUGCCAGUGAUAAACUGGAGGAAGGUGGGGAUGACGUCAAGUCAUCAUGGCCCUUACGACCAGGGCUACACACGUGCUACAAUGGCGCAUACAAAGAGAAGCGACCUCGCGAGAGCAAGCGGACCUCAUAAAGUGCGUCGUAGUCCGGAUUGGAGUCUGCAACUCGACUCCAUGAAGUCGGAAUCGCUAGUAAUCGUGGAUCAGAAUGCCACGGUGAAUACGUUCCCGGGCCUUGUACACACCGCCCGUCACACCAUGGGAGUGGGUUGCAAAAGAAGUAGGUAGCUUAACCUUCGGGAGGGCGCUUACCACUUUGUGAUUCAUGACUGGGGUG
This 1464-nucleotide ribosomal RNA is filed under the name Salmonella enterica subsp. enterica serovar Agona. RNAcentral describes it as "bacterial SSU rRNA". It matches the Rfam family "Bacterial small subunit ribosomal RNA". The record is from RNAcentral. Lineage: Bacteria; Pseudomonadati; Pseudomonadota; Gammaproteobacteria; Enterobacterales; Enterobacteriaceae.